RNAcentral lists this ribosomal RNA (372 nucleotides) under uncultured organism. RNAcentral describes it as "partial 16S ribosomal RNA". It matches the Rfam family "Bacterial small subunit ribosomal RNA", at positions 527 to 896 of the family's 1533-position model. The record is from RNAcentral.
GUAGGUGGCAAGCGUUGUCCGGAAUUAUUGGGCGUAAAGCGCGCGCAGGCGGUUCUUUAAGUCUGAUGUGAAAGCCCACGGCUCAACCGUGGAGGGUCAUUGGAAACUGGAGAACUUGAGUACAGAAGAGGAAAGCGGAAUUCCACGUGUAGCGGUGAAAUGCGUAGAGAUGUGGAGGAACACCAGUGGCGAAGGCGGCUUUCUGGUCUGUAACUGACGCUGAGGCGCGAAAGCGAGGGGAGCAAACAGGAUUAGAUACCCUGGUAGUCCACGCCGUAAACGAUGAGUGCUAAGUGUUAGGGGGUUUCCGCCCCCCUUAGUGCUGCAGCUAACGCAUUAAGCACUCCGCCUGGGAGUACGGCCGCAAGGCUG